Molecule: transfer RNA, 71 nt
Filed under: Loxodonta africana (African savanna elephant)
Lineage: Eukaryota; Metazoa; Chordata; Mammalia; Proboscidea; Elephantidae
Rfam family: tRNA
About the family: Transfer RNA (tRNA) molecules are approximately 80 nucleotides in length.
Source: Rfam by way of RNAcentral
CCAGUGGUGAUUCAGAGGUAGAAUUCUUUCCUUCCAUGCAGGAGACCCUGGUUCUAUUCCUGGCCAAUGCA